UACGAAGGGGGCUAGCGUUGUUCGGAAUCACUGGGCGUAAAGCGCACGUAGGCGGGUCGUUAAGUCGGGGGUGAAAUCCUGGAGCUCAACUCCAGAACUGCCUUUGAUACUGGCGAGCUUGAGUCCGGGAGAGGUGAGUGGAACUCCGAGUGUAGAGGUGAAAUUCGUAGAUAUUCGGAAGAACACCAGUGGCGAAGGCGGCUCACUGGCCCGGUACUGACGCUGAGGUGCGAAAGCGUGGGGAGCAAACAGG
This 253-nucleotide ribosomal RNA is filed under the name uncultured bacterium. RNAcentral's name for it is "partial 16S ribosomal RNA". It matches the Rfam family "Bacterial small subunit ribosomal RNA", at positions 524 to 776 of the family's 1533-position model. The record is from RNAcentral.